CUUGGCGCGCGCGGAGAGAUUUUUCCACAAAAGAGAAAGAAGGAGAUGGGAGAGGUGGAUAAAAACCACCUGAGGAUGGAAAAAAAGAAAGAGGGGAGGAGCUCUUCUCAAAAAGAGAGGAGAGACGCUGCCAACGCCGCGCGUCUCUCUCCCCAAGUGUUGGUGGCCGCCGGUGGCGCUCUAGAGCCCAUUCGACCGACAAGUGUCCACAAGAGCGGUCGUACACACCAUCACCUCUAUCUUUUUUUUCCUUUUUCCUCUCUUUUCUUAUUCUAUCUCUCUCUCUCUUUUUAUCGUCUUUUUUGGGUUUUUCUCGUCGUGUUCACAGUUUGAAAUCAAAAUCUUCGUGUGUAUUAUCAAGUGUGACUCCAGGAUUUGAUCGGCACACAUCAGGAAAACAGGAGGAUAACAAUCAGGAGAGAGAAUGUCAUCGAAAAUGGCCUCGACGUCGUCGUCGUCAUCAUCGGCGGCGUCUGGCGGCUCGUCGCCGCACCUGUGCCUCCGCUGGAACAACUACCAGUCCAAUUUGACCAGCGUCUUUGAUCAACUGCUGCAGAAUGAGACGUUUGUCGACGUCACUCUGGCGGCCGAUGGACACGCCAUCAAGGCCCAUCGCAUGGUCCUGUCAGCCUGUUCGCCCUAUUUCCAGCAUCUCUUCUUUGACAAUCCCUGCCAGCAUCCCAUUGUCAUUUUGAAGGACACCCGCUGGCCAGAACUCAAGGCUAUCGUCGAGUACAUGUACCGCGGCGAGAUCUCCGUCGCCCAGGAGGAACUGACGUCCCUUUUACGCGUCGCCGAGACGCUCAAAAUCAGAGGACUCUCGGAGCUCAACAGCGACCGACACGCCGCUGCUGCUGCCGCCGUUACGGCCGAUGAUCGCAGCGAAUCCAGUCCGCUGAUUCCCAUUCAUCCGACGGCCGGCCCAUCGACGUCGUCGUCAUCUUCAUCGGCUGCAGCCGUCAGGAGACAGACGGACAGUCCGACAUGGCCAACAUUGCCUCAUCAUCAUCAUCAUCAAAUUCAUCAUCAUCAGCAGCAGCAACAACCGGCGUGGCCUGGACACGUCAUGGAUGAAGAAAUGGCUACGACGCCUACCCCUUCGCCCACUCCUGCUCCGGCGUCUCGAUCGUCUGGCGUCAAACGACGUCGCAUUUCGGGGUCUGAAAGUCCAAUCGGUGGCGCCUCGAGUCCGGCAGCCGCUUCGACUCCGGGAAUGCAUCAUCAGCAUCACGAAGAGGCUAGUUUGGACCAUCACGACGGCCCACUCUCGUUGGUUGGUCAUCAACAACAAGCGCCGCCGCCGCCGCCACCACCACCGCCGCACAGUCCGGUCGCCUCCUCCGCCUCGUUGGCGCCGCAGGCUUUGACCCAGGCACCGCCUCCUCCAUCUUCUCUCCAUCAACAUCCACUGGCCCACUCGGAUGACCUUGAUAUUAAGCCCGGCAUCGCAGAACUCAUCCGCGAAGAGGAGAGGGCCCGGAUGCUGGAAGGGACUCACCCGUGGUUGACCGCUUCACCGUCGGUGCUCUCAGACACGUACCAGUACCAAUUACAGGCGCUGUGGCAGAAAGCCUGGGCUACCGGCCAAGGAGUCAUGCAGAACUUGCGUUUUCGUGAGCGCGGUCCUUUCAAAACUUGGAGGCCAGAAACUAUGGCCGAAGCUAUCAUGGCCGUUCUCCGUGAGGGAUUGUCACUCUCCCAGGCUGCCAGGAAAUUUGACAUUCCCUACCCGACGUUCGUGUUGUACGCCAACCGCGUGAAUAACAUGCUCGGGCCUUCGGCUGAUGGUGGACCAGAAUUGCGUCCAAAAGGUCGUGGCAGACCGCAACGAAUUCUGACCGGUUCUUGGCCAGAAGAUCACGUUCACGGCGUCAUCCGCGCCGUUGUUUUCCGCGAUCCGAGCAGCCUCCCGCGUCACAUUGACCGCGAAGAUGCCAGCAAGUUGACCGCUAACCGAUCAGCCGCCAGCUCUAGUAUGAGUCGCUUGCUGACUGUUCAUCCGGCUCAUCAGCAAACAAUUCAGGGCGAACUUGGCGGCGGCAGUGGAUCUGGAAUGCGCGGGUUGAUCCAUUCGGCCAUGAAUAAUGGUAAUAGCCACAAUUAUAAUCACGAAUUCGCACUGCCAUCUUCCUCCAACAUGACUGGCACAUUCACUCACGGAGGAUCGCUAUUAGCCGGUGGAUCUGCUUAUCCGUCAAUGCGUUCGACAGCCGGGCCGUCGUCUGGCGUCAGUAAUGCAGCGAAUGGCCUCAUGGCCGAUUUGAUGGCCGGAGCGACCAAUGGCUCCAACAACAACAACAACAACAACAACAUGCAAGGUGGAUCGGGAUCCAGUACAAGUUGCCUGAGUGGAGGCGGCCUGACAUCGUCGUCGCUGUUCAACGCUCUGCAACAGGAAGUUGCCGAAGAGACUCGAUUGGCCGCUCUGAAUGCCAUGACUCAGCGUCUGAUGACUUCACUGGAAGGUACGUCGCGGUUUCAUCAUGCUGGGCGUUGCUUAACUUCGGGACGUGAUCAUCCAGGUGACAACUUUGGACUGGGCGUGUCGUGCAACCAGCAACGAGCUGCCAGUGGCAUUCAAAAUCCAGCCGCAGCCGCAGCCGCCGCUGCCGCCCUGGAGGCAGCCGCCUGGUUCGGUCCCAGCAGCAGCUUCAGCGGUCAACUGCCUAUCGUCGAUUUGGCGGCCGACGACGUCACCGUAGCCGAAGAUGACGAAGGUGACGACGACGACGAGGAUGCCGUUCAACACCUGGCAUCUUUCAGCGCUCAUCAUAACCCGACAGUCACUAAUCCCGUACACUCUAAACAGCAGGAACAGCUGUUUGGAGAAUAGCCUAUACGCUAUCAUUAAUACUAUUGAAAGAGUGGCAAUUCAGUUAGUUUAUUUCGUCAUGGAGAUUUUGAAAUGAAAAAUUAUGACGCUAAUGUUAGAAAAUAGUCAGAUUGUAAACUUGCACUUGUCAUUUGUCGUCCAGCAAAAUUUUGUUUGUCCAGUGCCGUUUUAUUUAAUUUCUUCAUCAGGCACACACUCUUGUAAGUCAUAUUAUCGAGUUGAUGUUUUCAUUCACUCCGUGACAUUUUAUUUCAACAGAAAAUGGAGUGGCUGGUCUCUUGUACACAGCACCACUGUGGUAUUGUUGUAUAUUCGUUUUGAUGAGCGCACUCGACAAAAAUUUCUCUCACAUUUUUAAUAUGUACUUAAGAAAAAUGUGACUCGAUCUCCUCCUGUAUUUGACAUGGACCAGCUUAAUUGGCCAUAUCUAUUCAGUAUAGGAAAUUACAUUUUGCUCUCCCGCCCUAAAAUAUUAAAGAAACACUAAAUUAAGAGGUCCUCUAAUUGGUCUUUCACGUUUAGGCUCUCUCAAAUAACCAAUUUUUCGGCUUUUAUUCAAUAAGAAAAGGGUGGAGGGGGGAUGCCCAUUUACACAUUUGCUGUCCUUGCUUUUUUUUUAAAUUGAUCCAAUCAUUUUGUGUGUAAGCGUGAAAUAUUUGUAAACAUAUUUCAAGUCAUUUUGGGUCCUUUCGCCAGUUGUCUGUCCUGUUUUAAACUAUGCAUCUGAAAGUUGAAAAACACAAACAGGACGUGAAGAAAACGACUAUAAAAAAAGAAAUCUUAUUUUCUUUAAGACUCUAAUAAUUGACCUGCCAAUAAACUUCGCCCGCACACUCUACUCCCGAAAAUAAGUUUUCAUUUCCCCCCACUUUGAAUGGGCACCAUCGGCGUCAAGCAGUCUCUUGUCUAUGAUGUUUUUGUAUUUAGAUUUUGUGAAUUAUUCAGUCGUAAGAGAAAACAAAACAAAAUGGCUGUCUGCUAUGACGGGCGUUGCGCAACUUUUUAAAGAACCAUUCUAAAAACUCAAUUGAUCGUUUGGCAGCGUACAAUCACCUUCAAGAUCUGAUAAGACCCAUCAAGGCUACAUAUUUGUCCAGGUCAAUAAUGCCUCUCCAAUAAGAGAACAAUUCAAACCCCAUUAUGUUCCUCUUAUUUUGUCUUUUUAUUUUUGUGGCGUAAGAUAAAAAUUUCUUGCGCCCUUGUUGUGCACCUUCCCCAUUUUGCAUGUUUCAUUACGUUUGUUGCCUAUACGAUAACGUUUUUUUAUUGACUAUGUUGGUUUAUCUUUUUCUACCUUCUCAUGUCUCACAUUUUUUUGGUUCCAAUCUUCGUAUUUAUACGACCCUCAACUGCUGCGUUAUCGACGGUUUCAUAUGCUUUUGUGCCAUUGCACCAAAUAUUCACAGUUUUCUUUGUUCCGUUUAACGGUGCGUAUCAUCCGUCUAUUGAAACAAGAUCUACUAAUUGGAGGCUACGUAAAAUGUGAAUAAACGAAAGAUUAACAACCUCUUAAGGUCUGAUUUGGCUUUUCAACCAAGCUGAAACAAAAGUGAACAACUCAGCAAAUGGUUUUGUUGCAGCCACCCAGUGAAAAGGGAGUUCAAGUUGAGCUGCAGCUGCUGUAAGCAGUCUGUAGCGGUGAUGUCAUCCUGAAGUGUUCUCAGUGUGUCAGUCUAGGCUGCUGAAGUUAAUUAAACUGUGCUGUUCAAGUCUUAUCUAGACGUCCAGCACACUGAUAACAAAUUAUAGACAAGACUUUAUGAGAAGCCAUGUCGUUUGAAGAACUACACAGUCAAUAAGGUCCCUGUUUGAAAACCCGUUGGCUGCUACCUGUGAAUCUCCCUUUUUACUUCCUUAAACGGGCCCUCUUAAUUGAGGGUAACUCCUUCGAUACUGAUCAUCCACUGGACCCGACUUCAUCCAUUGAUGAAAGCUGACGAGAGAAUGCUGUAAUUCAAGACUGAUAAAUUGUGUAGUUGUUAGAUAAAUUACAAGUGCAUAUUAUCUGGGCUCCCUUCUUUUCUGCGGCCCCGUUUCCCUAACUAACCACUAACCAAC
RNA transcript from Daphnia pulex (common water flea), 4891 nucleotides. It is a transcript of the gene named protein bric-a-brac 1-like, with no coding region annotated. Lineage: Eukaryota; Metazoa; Arthropoda; Branchiopoda; Diplostraca; Daphniidae. The transcript has 13 exons. The record is from RefSeq and is a predicted model, not a curated record.